AACGAACGCUGGCGGCAUGCCUAACACAUGCAAGUCGAACGAGACCUUCGGGUCUAGUGGCGCACGGGUGCGUAACGCGUGGGAACCUGCCCUUAGGUUCGGAAUAACUCCCCGAAAGGGGUGCUAAUACCGGAUAAUGUCUUCGGACCAAAGAUUUAUCGCCUUUGGAUGGGCCCGCGUUGGAUUAGCUAGUUGGUAGGGUAAAAGCCUACCAAGGCGACGAUCCAUAGCUGGUCUGAGAGGAUGAUCAGCCACACUGGGACUGAGACACGGCCCAGACUCCUACGGGAGGCAGCAGUGGGGAAUAUUGGACAAUGGGCGAAAGCCUGAUCCAGCAAUGCCGCGUGAGUGAUGAAGGCCUCAGGGUUGUAAAGCUCUUUUAACCGGGAUGAUAAUGACAGUACCGGGAGAAUAAGCUCCGGCUAACUCCGUG
This 433-nucleotide ribosomal RNA is filed under the name uncultured bacterium. RNAcentral describes it as "partial 16S ribosomal RNA". It matches the Rfam family "Bacterial small subunit ribosomal RNA", at positions 29 to 507 of the family's 1533-position model. The record is from RNAcentral.